GUACCUACGGGAGGCAGCAGUAGGGAAUCUUCGUCAAUGGGCGCAAGCCUGAACGAGCAAUGCCGCGUGAACGAGGAAGGUCUUCGGAUCGUAAAGUUCUGUUGACGGGGAAAAAAGACCGGUAAAGAAAAUGAUUCCGGAGGAGAUAUUACCCGUCGAGGAAGCCACGGCUAACUACGUGCCAGCAGCCGCGGUAAUACGUAGGUGGCGAGCGUUAUCCGGAAUGAUUGGGCGUAAAGG
RNAcentral lists this ribosomal RNA (240 nucleotides) under uncultured bacterium. RNAcentral's name for it is "partial 16S ribosomal RNA". It matches the Rfam family "Bacterial small subunit ribosomal RNA", at positions 335 to 566 of the family's 1533-position model. The record is from RNAcentral.